UUUUUUAAGGGUAAUUUUGUAACUUCAGUUCCAUCGCCAUUGACAUGAGCGGUGAUAAAACAAUCUGGCAAUCUGCCACUAGAUCACUCACCCUCACAGUCAGACUCUGCAAGCUUUCAUAGUCAAUGGCUUCACAUGAUCAUCAUACGCAUGACCACGCCCACCAUCAUCAUCAUGACAAUGAUCAUGAUCAUACCCAUGAGUAACUCAUCUCUCAGAUUUGAUUUCUUUUGAUUUUUUUCCUCAUUUAUAUCUUCUCUUCGUGGAAAAUAUUACUAAUAGUUUCAUUUAACAGAAAAAAUCAUGGUGAUUCAACAGCAACAUCAUGGGUGGGGUCAGAGGGGAGGGUGUAUCAUAGCCAUGAUGGACUGGCGCCACACUCGCACGAACCCAUUUACUCUCCAGGCUAUUUCAGCAGAAGAGCUCCGCCUAUUCUCAGCAGAAAUUUCAAUGAGAGAGCUUUUACCGUUGGCAUUGGUGGCCCUGUUGGUACUGGGUAUUUUCACCUUCUCUUUCAAAUUUUUAAUUUGACUUUUUUCUUCUGCUGUACGGCCAAGGCGGAUGCACGGUACAGCAGUGGAAUAUUGCUUUCAAUUAGUUUGGCCCGGUUAAUAUAAUGCAUACUCUCUUGAAUCAUAAUAUCGUCUGGGUUACUGUUGCUGAUAUUAGUUUUUUCAAAAAAAAAUUUUUGCACAUGUUUAGAAAUUGAUUUAAUGUUGUUGAUCUGUUAACCCCGAAUGUAGAAUUUCAAAGUGUAUUUAAUUGGAUUUGUGGGCAACUGUUAUUUAUUCUUUGUUUUUGUAAAUUUUUCUAUUUUGUUUGGCUGUCUUUCUUGUGAGUUUGUGAUUAUUGUUGCUAGUCUCAAGAAAGAAAUAAAAUAUAUGGGUAUUGCUGCGUCAUGCCUUGCAGGAAAACAGCUUUAAUGCUGGCUUUGUGUAAAUUCUUGCGGGACAAGUACAGUCUUGCAGCUGUAAGUACUGAUGAACUUUUGGGAUUCAUUUCAAUUAUCGUGUCCAUAUAGCUUGCUUAUUAUUCCAUUCCAAUUUGAAGAAGAAAUGAUGAAGUGACAUCCGGAAAAAAUGAGUUCUAAAAAGAAGGAAAAUGAUGUCAAUACUGAAGCAUAUGGAACUUUUUAUGUUCCUACUGAGUUCCUUUAUAUCCGUAGCGGAAUUGCUAGCUUCACGAGUCUGGACACAUAAUUUAAGUUUAGAUUCUCUGUUCUAAUUCAGCUUCUUUUCUGUUGUAUUUGAGAGGCAGAGAGGAACUGGUGUACUUCACUGUCCAGUAACUCAAUUUGAAAAUUGUUUGCACAUUUUAAGAACAAUUGUUUCUUUGAGAUCAGCCACAAUCUCCCAAGAACUUACUGAAAAAUGGGUUAAUAAUCAUCCCUGAUAAUUUUCUCCUGUUAAUUUUAUCAUUCCAAUGACUAAUUGAAGUUGAAUGAUAGAUUAAGAAGCGUAUAUUAUACUUCAGGUCACAAAUGAUAUUUUCACAAAAGAAGAUGGUGAAUUCCUGAUGCGGAAUGGUGCUCUGCCUGAGGAGAGAAUACGUGCUGUGGAAACAGGUGGAUGUCCUCAUGCUGCAAUUCGUGAAGACAUCAGCAUCAAUCUGGGCCCUCUCGAGGAACUUUCUAACUUGUUCAAAGCAGACCUACUUCUUUGCGAAUCUGGGGGAGGUAAUUUGUAGUAAAUACAUUUCCAAUCUGCGUUUUUUCGUUCGGGCAAUCUGGCUAAACUUUAAAUUGAACCAAUGAAAACUAUUGAGGAAGUUGGCUCAUCUUUAUGUGCCAGUUGGUAGAGGUGCUUGUAUCCGAACAUAUUUGUAAUGCUCAUGAUAUAAUAUGCUUAAGUCGUAGAAACUGCUUUUUCCAAAAAUUUUUGUAAGGUGUCAUGAAUGUUAAUCUCAGUUACAACUAAGCAUGAGAAGAUUCAUAGAUAACAAAAUUUGUGUGCAUGCAGAUAAUUUAGCUGCCAACUUCAGCAGGGAACUUGCAGACUAUAUCAUUUAUAUAAUAGACGUUUCUGGUGGUGAUAAAAUUCCUCGGAAAGGUGGCCCAGGCAUCACCCAAGCUGACCUUCUGGUAUGAUUCCAUAAAUCAGUAGCAGUUUUUAUUGCUGCUAUGGCAUCCCUUGUUUGUCAAUGAGAAUGAGUUGUUGCAUCUUGUCGUAGGUGAUAAACAAAACUGACCUUGCUUCAGCAAUAGGAGCUGACUUAGCAGUAAUGGAGCGUGAUGCACUCCGGAUGCGUGAUGGAGGGCCUUUUAUCUUCGCUCAGGUGGGUUGGGUCAUUGGUAUCAUUUUUACAUUAAGCAUAACUCAUUACAUAGUUUCGUGAAGUCUCUUCUGGACAAAUUGUGAACCGUGCAUAAUCUGGACAAAUUGUUGAACUGUGCAUACUCUCUUCUUCGUGUCAUAUAUGAUUUUAUGUGCAAUGAAAUUCUGCUUACCGUCAAGUUAACCCCAAAUGAUUACAUGAAUGUUUACAAGAGGUAAUGAUAUUUUCUAAGAAGAGAGACCUAUAGCAAAUUGUCGGCAAAGGCCCCACCCAAUCUGAUGAUAUCAAGUUCGCUAUAUGUUCUGAUAAUCUCGUAGUUUAUGAGAUGAGCUUUUCUUGAACUGUUAGAUUGUUCCUUUUCUUGAUCUGAAACACAGUUGGAUGCCUGUAAGAUUACGUGAUCUCAACAUAUUUUCCUUGUUAAUGAUUUGCGUGAAUUAUAAGCCUACAGGUCAAGCAUGGGCUUGGUGUGGAGGAAAUAGUGAAUCACAUUUUACAGGCUUGGGAAGCAUCAACAGGGAAGAAGCGGCGUUGAUACCACUUCUCUGAAGUUGUUUUAGUUUGUUGUCUUGUAUUUUAUUAGUUUCAGCACAAACCGUCCUCGUCAAAAUUUUUUAUCAGGUUUCUGGUUUCAACUCAUCUGAUAACUUUUUAUUCUCAAUGAUUUUAACAAUUGAAGUGGCUGCUUGAUCUGUUCGCACGGUGCAUGCUCCUGCCACUUGGAAAUCUCGUAGUUUGUGAAGAUUCUUGAUGACCCCAGACCGGAUUUGAUGUGGCUGUCCCGUUAUUUGACGAGACAAACAUUCUUCAUUCAAUUUAUUUGACAAUAUUGAAGCGUGGGCGAAUAAACGUUGGAGCUAUUAAAAAGCUAGGCAAGCGACCCCUGAUCAUGUGAGGCAUGUCCAAUAUGAUAAUCCUUGUCUUAAUUAACUCAUUAAAAUCUAUAAUGCUGGUAGUUAUUAAAUUGUCUUUGGAAACAUGAUAAUCUCUCAUGUUUUAAAAGACAAACAUGUGGAGUCAAUGGGACGGAGAAGUACGCAAGCCGCCUGCUCUGAUUGGCCAUUUAGCUAUCUUAGCAAAGUAGCUUGAGAAACCAUCAUGGCUAAAGAGCAAAUCAGGUGUGUGAACUUAUUUAGCUCCCAUUGUGACGUGGCAAGAAAUAAUUGCUGGGCUAACUCUAUGAAUAGCGUGGCAAGUUCCAUUUGUUCAAAACUUCAAAUUAUCUCUUUGGUUUUAUACAUACAACUAAUUAGUACGCAAUUAGUUCUGAUUUCUCUUUUUGCACUCAUAGAUAUGAUAAAUCGUCCCCCCUCACAGAGUGUAGUGUGUGUGUGUAUAUGUACGUAUGUAUGUAUAAAUAGGAUAAGGUUUUCUAGAAUUAUUUCAAAUAAUUAAGCAGGCCAAUCGCCUACUAACAUAUGGAAGGAUGAUAAUGCAAAUUAGAUAUUUUAGGUGGUAUGCCAACUUGUGGAGAAAUUCUGGAAUACAUCUUAUAUAUUGCAACCAAUUGAUGUAUACAUACAUGUGUAAUUGAAUUUAAUAUAACCACCACUAGCAUGAUGAUUUUUCAAAAUAAAUGCACACAUGUCACAACAUCAUUUACUUGUUGUAUGAUUGAUAUAGUACUUCUGAUGUAUUUUAAAAUUUCUCCAACUUGUGAGGUGAGGAGAGAUGUCUUACCCCUCAUAAUUAAUAUUGUAUGCAUGUUAAUGGAGCUGAACAUAUAUGCUUGUAUAACCAACCAUAUAAUAUAAUUCAUUUUAAAAGCCACAUAAGAAAACUGUAAUUUUUAAUCGAGUAUAUGUUUAUGCCCGUAUAGAUGAGGAUGACUAUGACUUUAGCUUGUGUAAUAUUAAUGCUAUUAGAACUUGCCUGGUAAUAUAAAUGUUAUAAUUUUUUUUUCUUUUUAAUUUUUGGCAAAUCUCGACCUAACUCGUUCCUUAGUGUCUCAUGAUAAUAUAUAUGUAUACUAUCAAUUUAUGUUUAUAAUAAAUGUUUCACUAAUAUAUACAUACACAAGCACACACCCCACAAUAAUUAAUCUUUCUUAACUAUUGUUGUUAGUAAUAAUGCACGAAAGUCGAAACCGCCUGAAACGUCCCUUCAUCACCUGCUCGCUUCAUGCACUUUCAUCGGCUGAUGCUACAAUACCUGCAUAUAUCGGAUACAUGCAUGAAAAAUUACCGUUGGAUUAAGUGGAGUGGAUCCAAUGGCUGAGAUUCAUUUUAGUAUUAAAUAAUAAAAAAUUUACAAGGAAAGGGAACCUGUAAAAUCGGUAAAUGAAACAAACAAAAAGUCCUCACCACUCACUCCUCACCUCGCGAUCACAGCUCACCCUCAGCUCACGUCUCCAUCUCCACUGUCUCCCGCUUCACUCACACGCCAAACGCCUCACCACGGCCAUCAACAGCGCCGCAAGUCGGCAAUGAUUAACGGCGGCGACUGAAGGAGUUCCUAGGCAACGAUCAACGGCGGCACAAGCACGGGCUGAUCUCCUUCUUCGGCAACGAUCAACGGCGGGGUUGCUGAUCUUCCCUAUCCUUGGUGGACUUCAACUCUGUCCCUGCCUUGUGGGUCGUUGAUGAUGUUGAUUUCAUGGACUACCAGAAUUGCGGAGCCUCCAAAGACUGGUCUUGAGUUUUGGAAGACUUUGUUUCUCGUAAGUACUGUGAUGGGUUUUGUUUUGAAACUAAAGGAACGUGGAAUUUAGGUCAAUAAACAUGAAACAUGUCAUUAUUAACUUACAACCAUGAAAAUUAUUUAAUUAAUGGACUAAUAAAAAUAAAAUAAUGACCAUUAACUUGAUAUCUCAGCCAUUAAACAUGAAACCAAUGAAACUUGAAAUUUAGGGCAAUAGACAUAAAAUAUGUUAUCAUUAAUUUGAAACCAUGAAAAUCAUUUAAUUAAUAAACUUGAAACUUAGGGCAAUAAACAUGAAACAUGAGAUCAUUAACUUGCAAUCAUGAAAAUCAUUUAAUAAUGGAUCAAUAAACAUGAAAUCAUGACCAUUAACUUGAUAUCUAAACCAUUAAAUUUGAAAAGUAUGAACUUGAAACUUAGGGCAAUAAACAUGAUACAUGAGACCAUUAACUUGCAACCAUGAAAAUUAUUUAAUUAAUGAACUUGAAACUUGGGGCAAUAAACAUGAAACAUGAGAUUAUUAACUUGUAACCCUGAAAAUCAUUUAUUUAAUGGAUCAAUAAACAUGAAACCAUGACCAUUAACUUGAUAUAUAAACUAUUAAACUUGAAAAGUGUGAACUUGAAACUUAGGACAAUAAACAUGAUACAUGAGACCAUUAACUUGCAACCAUGAAAAUUAUUUAAUUAAUGAACUUGAAACUUGGGGCAAUAAACAUGAAACAUGAGAUUAUUAACUUGUAACCCUGAAAAUCAUUUAUUUAAUGGAUCAAUAAACAUGAAACCAUGACCAUUAACUUGAUAUAUAAACUAUUAAACUUGAAAAGUGUGAACUUGAAACUUAGGACAAUAAACAUGAUACAUGAGACCAUUAACUUGCAACCAUGAAAAUUAUUUAAUUAAUGAACUUGAAACUUGGGGCAAUAAACAUGAAACAUGAGAUUAUUAACUUGUAACCCUGAAAAUCAUUUAUUUAAUGGAUCAAUAAACAUGAAACCAUGACCAUUAACUUGAUAUCUAAACCAUUAAAUUUGAAAAGUAUGAACUUGAAACUUAGGGCAAUAAACAUGAUACAUGAAACCAUUAACUUGCAACCAUGAAAAUCAUUUAAUUAAUAAACUUGAAACUUAGGAUAAUAAACAUGAAACAUGAGAUCAUUAACUUACAACCCUGAAAAUUAUUUAUUUAAUGGACCAAUAAACAUGAAACUAUGACCAUUAACUAUUAUUGCUUGUUGCCAAUAAGUUUCUGAUUAGGUAAUAAUCAGAUAGGUAAAGUCUUAUUUUAUAAUAAUUAUAGGUACAAGAGUCAAGGAAGAGGCAAGUGUAAUACGCAACGGUUUAUGGCCUCUAUAAAGGACAAGGCUACGUUACAGACUCUGUAUGUAACAACCCAGUGUAAAUUGACCUUGUAUCGGGUGAGUUCCAACAACUUUUCCUCUCUCCUGCAAUGCGUGGAUGCUCUUCAUUUGUGUCAAAUGAGGUGGGCCACUCUUCCUAGAAGAGCAAGAACUUUACAUUCAUUUUUUGACAUUUGCUAAGGGCGACACCAACCAUAUUAAAAAAAAAAAGAGGAUAGAACACGGCUUUGAAAAAGUCACAAGAAGGAAAAAAAGAAAAUAUUAAAAUAAUAGCCAAUUUUGGCUAUAUAAAGGAAGCCCCCCAUUUUGGGUUUAGCAUUCAGUUUUUAUGAGAAGCAAUUCCUAUAUUUAAGAGAGCAGAGAAUUUUGUAGAGCUUAAAUAAUAAAGCUCUUAUUUUAGUGUUUUGAGAGUUUGGGUGUAUUGGGGGUUUUGGGAAGUGAGCUAAAAUACUGCAAUACUUGUAACUAAUUUUCACUAGUAAAAUAUUUUCCUUCUGUCUUCGCCCGUGGACGUAGGAUAAAAGCCAAACCACGUAAUUUCCUGAUUUCCUUUUUGUAUGGACUAGAAAGCCAGCUGAUUACUCGUACCUACAUGCAUUUGGAUGUCAUGUGUACGUGAUGUACAAUGCCCAAGAAAGAACAAAACUGGAUCCAAAAUUUAGAAGAUGUACCUUCUUGGGAUAUGCUGAUGGAGUAAAGGGGUAUCGUCUGUGGGACCCUACUGCCCACAAGAUCGUCAUCAACAAAGAUGUUAUCUUUGUAGAAGAUCAACUACAAAGGAGAUAUGAGGAUGAUAGCACUAUAAAAGAAAAAUCAGAGACUGUACCGGUAUAUGUAAAAAAUAAUUUGGGGGGAGAAGAUUCAGAUUCUUCUGAAGCAGCACCAGAGCACGAGCAACAAGAACUAGUCGAGUCCGAGGCUCCAGAAGUUUGUCGAUCAACUCGUGAGAGACGACCGUCGGCGUGACACUCGGAGUAUGUCAAAGAGAUCAAUGUUGCGUACUGUCUUCUAACAGAUGAUGGAGAGCCAUUAACUUUCCAUGAAACUUUAAACAACUCAGAUGUUGUUUUGUGGAUGACAGCAAUGUAGGAAGAAAUUGAAGCUCUACACAAAAAUAAGACAUGGGAACUUGUACCAUUACCACAUGGAAGAAAAGCUAUUGGAAAUAAAUGGGUCUACAAGAUCAAACGUGAUGACAAUGACUAAGUGGAGCGGUAUCGUGCAAGAUUAGUGGUGAAAUGAUAUGCUUAGAAAGAAUGUAUUGACUUCAACGAGAUAUUUUCUCCGGUGGUUCGACUCACAACAGUCAGAAUAGUUUUGACAAUGUAUGCUACAUUUGACCUACAUCUAGAGCAAUUAAAUGUGAAAACUGCAUUUUUUCAUUGAGAACUUGAAGAAGAAAUUUAUAUGCUCCAACCAGAAGAUUUUUCUGAAAGAGGAAAGGAGAACUUAGUUUGUAGGUUGAACAAAUCUCUAUACGGUCUCAAACAGGUGUCGAGGUGUUGGCAUAAGAGAUUUGAUUCCAUCAUCAUGAGCCUUGGAUACAACAGACUCAGUUAAGACCAUUGUGCAUAUUACAAGAGAUUUGAAGAUAAUGAUUUCAUCAUUUUACUGUUGUAUGUGGAUGACAUAUUGUAAGCAGGCCCUAACAAAGAUCGAAUCCAAGAAUUAAAGGCACAGUUGGCUAGGGAGUUCGAAAUGAAGGACUUGGGACCAGCAAACAAGAUUUUAGGGAUGCAAAUUUACUGAGACAGAAAUAACAAGAAGAUUUGGCUUUCUCAGAAGAACUACUUGAAGAAAAUCUUGUAACACUUCAACAUGCACGAUUAUAAGCCAAUUUCUACCCUACUUCCUGUUAAUUUCAAAUUAUCUUCAAGUAUGUGUCCUAGCAAUGAAGCAGAGAGGAAGGAGAUGUCUCAAGUACCAUAUGCAUCAGCGGUGUGAAGUUUGAUGUUCGCUAUGAUAUGUACUAGACCGGACAUUGCACAAGUAGUAUGAGCAGUCAGUCGAUACAUGGCAAAUCCUUGUGGAGAGCAUUGGAUAAUUGUAAAGAGGAUUCUGAGAUAUAUCAGAGGAACCUCAGAUGUUGCAUUAUGUUAUGGAGGAUCAGAAUUUACUGUUAGGGGCUACGUGGAUUCAGAUUUUGCAGAAGACCUUGAUAAAAGAAAAUCCACUACUGGCUAUGUGUUUACACUUGCAGGAGAAGCUGUAAGCUGGAUUUCAAAACUACAGACUGUUGUGGCUUUAUCUACAACAGAAGCAGAAUACAUGGCAGCUACACAAGCUUGCAAGGAAGCUAUUUAGAUACAAAUAAUAAAGGUUAUUGGAUGAGCUCGGGCACAAAUAAGAGAAAAUUUUUGUGUUUUGUGACAGUCAGAGUGCCUUGCAUAUUGCAAAGAAUCCACCCUUUCAUUCUAGGACAAAACAUAUAGGAGUUCAGUAUCACUUCGUUCGAGAAGUAGCGGAAGACGGAAGUGUGGAUUUACAAAAAAUUCAUACCAAGGAAAAUCUAGCAGAUGUUUUAACCAAGCCAAUCAAUGCUGACAAGUUUAUUUGGAGUAUAUCCUCUUGUGGCCUAGCAGAAACAUAGGCAACAUGACAAUGACGAAGCAUAAAGGAUGGUGUGGAGAUUGAUCGGUCCUCAAUCUAAUCUCCAAGUGGGAGAAUGUCAAAUGCGGUGGGCCACUCUUUCUAGAGGAGCAAGAACUUCACAUCCAUUUUUUGACAUUUGCUAAGGGCGGCGCCAACCAUAUUAAAAAAAAAAGAAGGAUAGAACAUGACUUUGAAAAAGCCACAAGAAGGAAAAAAAGAAAUUAUUAAAAUAAUAGCCAAUUUUGACUAUAUAAAAGAAGCCCCCCAUUUUGGUUUUAGCAUUCAGUUUUUGUGAGAAGCAAUUCCUGCAUUUAAGAGAGCAGAGAAUUUUGUAGAGCUUAAAUAAUAAAGCUCUUGUUUUAGUGUUUUGAGAGUUUGAGUAUAUUUGGAUUUUGGAAAGUGAGCUAAAAUAUUACAAUACUUGUAACUCAUUUUCACUAGUAAAAUAUUUUCUUUCUAUCUUCGCCUGUGGACGUAUACUAAAAGCCGAACCACGUAAUUUCCUGCUAUCUUUUUUAUGUUUCUUCUUUAUUUUCUUCUAAUUUUAUUUUAAUUACGGCACUGCUUCACCCAUCAAUUUCCUAACAAAUUGCUAUGUUACAUACAGAGUCUAUAACAUAGCAAGGUCCCUCUAUAAAUUGUGGCACCCAGUGAAUUUGGACCAUACGAAGCAUACAAAUAAAUUGAGAAAGCGAGAGAGAAAAGACGUUUCAGGAGAAUUACUUUUUUAAUAAAUUAAUUAAUGGCUCAUCAACUGAUUGCUUCAGUGCCUGCUGCUAACUUCACGAGAUUGCAGCCUAGAAGUUGCAUCUCAUCAGUCGGAUCACUCAACAUCAGCAAUAGCAAUGGCUUUCGUGCAUCUCCGGUCCAAUGCACGGCUGCUAAUGCUACCAGCGUGUGUGAGAAGGCAAUUAGUAAUAGGCGAUCUGCCAAUUAUCAGCCUUCUAUGUGGGGCUACGAUUACCUUCAGUCUCUGUCAAAUGAAUAUGUGGUAUGCUUAAUAACUAUAGUGAUGAUUCAAUUAAUUAUUUGGAAUUGACGGGAUCUGCAUGUGAAGCUAAAACAAACUAAUGGUGUUCGUCUUUUGAUAAUCUUUGUAGGUAGAAUCAUAUGCCCAAAGGAUCGAAAAGCUGAAGGGAGAAGUGAGGUUAAUGCUUGAGAAUAAAGAGGUUGAUUACGUGGAUGCGUUACAUCAACUGGAGAUUGUUGAUAAUUUGCAAAGACUUGGAGUAUCCUAUCACUUUGAGGACGAAAUUAAAAGAUUUCUCAGUAGGAUAUAUAACGAGAGAAACAGUCGCAGCAGUUACCAUGCCAAGGAAAAACAAGAAAGUUCGUUAUAUGCCGUAGCUCUUGAAUUUAGACUCCUAAGACAGCAUGGUUUUGAUAUGCAUGCACAAGGUACGUACCCAAAUCCAAUGGAAGUUUUUGUUCUAUAUUUUAUUUUUGUUUUAUCUAUAUAUAUAUGUGUGUGUGUGAUUCAGAUGUACGUGUUGCUGUAGGAACUCUCUCUCUUUUCAUGGACGAGAAGGGGAAGUUGAAGUCAUGCCUCGGUGACGAUAUCAAAGGAAUUUUAGCACUGUAUGAAGCUGCAUAUCUUCUGGUAGAAGAAGAGAGCAAUAUCUUCAAUGAAGCUAUAAAUUUCACAACCACACAUCUCAAAGAAUACGUGAAGCACAAUAACAAUGAUGACGAUGGAUAUCUUUCAACAUUAGUGGAGCAUGCGUUGGAACUUCCAUUACAUUGGAGGAUGGUAAGAUUGGAGGCAAGGUGGUUCAUUGAUAUGUACCAAAGAGGGCCAGACGUGAACCAAGUCUUGGUAGAGCUUGCUAAAUUGGACUUUAAUGCUGUGCAAGCAGAGCACCAAGAAGAGCUCAAGUAUGUGUCGAGGUGGUGGAGGAAGACGGGUCUUGGAGAGUUGCAUUUUGCAAGGGACAGGAUAAUGGAGAAUUUCUUCUGGGCCUUGGGGGAGGUAUGGGAGCCUCAGUUCGGAUAUUGCAGAAGGAUGUCCACAAAGGCGAACGCAUUAAUUACGACUAUUGACGAUGUUUAUGAUGUGUAUGGUACCUUGGAUGAACUUGAGCUAUUCACAAAUGCUGUUGAGAGGUUAGUACACUACACGAGUCUUUACUUUUAUCAAACUCUCUCUCCCUCUCUGCAGUUAAAUUAGCUAGUUCUAUCAUAAAUAUUCAUCAAUUAAUUAAAAUAUAAUUGGGUUUGUAAUUAAUUAAUUUGAUUUCAGAUGGGAUGUCAACGCAAUGGAUCAACUUCCAUACUAUAUGAAGCUGUGUUUUCUUGUUCUCCAUAAUUCCACAAACGAAAUGGCUUUUGAUGUUCUCAAGAAGCAAGGAGUUCAUAUCAUUCCUUACCUUAAGAAAGCGGUAAUUAAUUAAUUUUAAUAAAUUAAUCUUCGAUGUAAUUUUUUUUUUUUUCAUUUUUAUGUUUUGCUACUGAUGAUGAUGAUGAUAAUUAUAAUAAUACUUGUAUUGCAGUGGGCAGAUAUGUGCAAAUCCUUUUUGUUGGAGGCCAAAUGGUACAGCAGCGGAUACAUCCCAACCCUUGAGGAAUACAUGGACAAUGCUUGGAUUUCAGUAUCAGGACCUGUAAUUCUGCUGCAUGCUUAUACUCUGAUUGCAAAUCCACCAACAAAGGAGGCCUUGCAAUUCUUAGAAGAAUACCCCAACAUAAUUCGUUGGCCAUCGAUGAUUUUUCGACUUGCAAAUGAUUUGGCAACAUCAUCGGUACGUUACAUCAUCUUAUAUAUUUUUAAUGAUUUUCAUUCUGUUCUAUUAGAUUAUAUGUUCCAAAGAAUUAAUUUAUGAUUCAUAUAAUAUAUGCGUGUAUAUAAUAAUAUAUAGUCUAAUGAAUUAAUAUUAAUUUCUUGCUUGAUUUAUCUUAGGAUGAGGUGAAACGAGGUGAUGUUCCUAAAGCGAUUCAAUGUUACAUGCAUGAAACUGGAGCUUCAGAAAGCGAUGCUCGUGAACACAUCAGAGAUUUGAUCACAGCAACAUGGAUGAAGAUGAACAGUAAAGAUGGAGAUGAAAAUCCUGAUCACUUAUUAUUGUCCAACAAUUUUAUCCGGUUUGCGAUUAAUCUAGCAAGAAUGGCUCAAUGCACGUACCAAAAUGGAGAUGGACAUACCAUUCAGCACAAAAGUAAAAAUCGUGUAUUGCCAUUACUUGUUCAUCCCGUUUCUUUAAUCAAUCUUUGAUUAAUUCUUGGCGAAAGACCAAGAGUGUUGAAGCGGAUGAUCAUAAAAACGUGCAACUAGAUUUCUUGGAGCUAGAGAUCUUAGAGUCAACUUUUUGGCUCUCCAUUUUGAGAAUAAGUAGCUCCCCCAAUUAAUUUCUUGUAGUUUCGUAGCUUCGUUAAUUAGCUUUAUAUUUGUCCUUUCCAAUAAAUGUUUCCAGGAUACUCUUGCUAUGCGGACAACUAGAUUUAAGCCCAAAAAGUGUACUCUAAUAAUUCUUUAAUAGAAAGCAAUGAUACAUAGUCAAUUUUUUUUUUUAAAUAUUGAUUUCCUUAUUGUUUAUUUAAGUAUUGAUUACUAUGCUGGAAAUAAAAAUUUUAAGAUUUAGGGCAUGAGAAUUAUAUAUUAAAUAUGUUAUAGGGGUGUUCAAAAUAAUUAUAUAAUACUAAUUUAUAAUAAAUUAUCUUUAAUAAUAAUUCAUAUAUUUAUAAUAGAUUUUUCUACUAAAAUUAGAAUGUUUAAAGUGUAAAUAAUCCCAUCAUUUUCCGUAAUAUAUAAGGAGAAUAAAUGAUUAAUAAAAUGAUAGCAACUCUUUUUCUCAAAUCAAUAGGUUGAACGCUUAUUCGCAACACAUUUAUUCUUAUUAUUUAAUAAAAUAGGUGAGGGUUAUAUACACUUAAAAAAUCAACCUUCAAAACUCAUUUUUUUAAUUAAAAUAUUAUUAAAAUACAAUAAUUUUUUUAAAUAACUUAAAAAUCACUCAGCCAACUGCAAAAAGUUAAAAUUUAAUAAAACUCAAAUAUUAGUUUUAUAUUUUUUAUAAGUCAAAAAUAGGUCAGAGUGUUAAUUUAGAAUAAUUUUUUGAAUUUACGAGGGCCGACGUGGCUUUAUUCGUACAAAACAAACGACAAGUCGUUUACAGAGGGCGGCGGUGAAAUUAACAAGAAAGGAGAGAAUCAGGCAGCAGCAGUGGCUCUCAUCUCAUCUCAUCUCUAUGAAACCCCAAUCGUGAAUCUCAAAGAAGACAAAUCAAAAUCAAAAUCAAGAGCAAAAAAUGGGUGAGGAACAGGAUCAGGAACAGGAGAGGAAGAAGAGAGUGGUGGUGGAAUCACUGGGAUGGCUGACGGAAUCAUCAAUAAUGCCGAAAAAGCAACGGUCGAUAGAAGGAGUGGGUCUCUCCUCCAUCUUGGAACUCAAGGCCCAGCUUUAUCAGUCUCAAGAAGAAUCUAGAAAAUCCAAGGAGUUGAAUGGCCCUGAUGUUGAGUUCCUUCGCGCCAAGAAGAAGAUCGCUCCACGCGAUUCUUUCUCCCUCAAGAACUCCGGCGUCGACGCCCGCUCUCUCAAGUACCUGCCCUCUUCUUUCUUAUUUAUUUAUUUAGUUAUUUCUUUUUUCAAGUUUCAAGAUUUAAUUAUUUAGGACUUGGCAUAAAUGAGGAUUAUCAGUUAGAACCCUAAUUUCGUUUAAUGUUUGAGCACUUAAAAUUUUGAUUUUUUUUUUUCAUUCAAUUUUCAGUGGUGGUUUUCAGUUAAUAAUAAACUGCCCCAAUAAUUGGCUUGGACUUUGGCGUAUUAAGCGAUUGCCUGUUUGAUUCUUUUACUAAGAUUAAUCAUGCUUGCUUGUGUAUAUACAUCUAGGGACAAGCUUGAGUUGAAAGCAGCUAAUGAUGGAUCAGCCAGCUAUGCUGCAUUAGAGAAGAAGGCUGAGUUAUAUGAGAAACUGCAGAGGGGAGAGCUAUCAGAUGAGGAAGACAAGGAGAAGUAUUGUGUUGACUUUUUCCGUAAGAGUACAGAGCUGGAAUCGCAGCAGCCACAUGGCUCUGAUGUUUCUUCUGCUGCACCAUCAGACAAUAAUGAACACGAGGACAAUGGUUCUAUGCUUUUCAACAUGAAGUUUGUUGCACCUGGGCGAACAUCUGGAACAAUGGACAACAGUGAACACAAGCGUUUUGUGAGGUAAAGCUUAAUUCUUUUCUUCUUCUUCUUCUUUUCUCCUCUAUCUUUCUCUCUGUUUGUAUGACAUUUGGUAUUGGGCAUACUGUGAAGGUAAACAUGAUGUGGGAGUUUUGACUCGCAAUUUUAAUAGUCUAUAUGGCACAGGUUCUGACUGUUAAAUUUGUGGGUAGGAGUCUAAUAUAUGGAUUGUUGCUUAUAUUUUAUCUAAAGAUACCAUUCAGUGGACUUAGAAUUGCUUGUGAACCUUGGUGGAACAGCCGCUAGCUCAUGCAACAGAAAUUAUGUAGUAAUAUAUCUCUAUAUUGUGCAAUUAAGCUACUAUAUAUUGUCAAUUGAAGAAACAAGGGUACAUUCCCGCUGUAGGCUUUCUUAGGUUGAUGUACAAGGUAUACCUUGUAGAAGGAAAAAUAAAAAGAAUUAACUGGAGGGGUGACAGGAGAAUAUGGCCAUAAUUGACAAGCCUGAGGACUGUCAUUUUUGUAAGUAGGUAACAAUAGAAAGAAUGUAAAUAAGUAUUUGUGAUAGGAAAACUGGAAAAAAUUGGGAAAGUAGGACAAGUAGAGCAAUUAUAAAAUGAGAGAACCAGAGAGUAAUUUGGAAAGAGGAUAUUCCUUUUGUAUUAUCUCCUGAUGGUGGUGUACUUGACUAACAUCCUGAGACAAACAAACAAUAUGCUAACAUAUAAUAUCAUGCAAAAGAAGAACAGAGCCAAUGAAAAUUGAAUAAUUGUUCAAAAUUCGAUUGUAAGAACAGUAAAUUUCAUAAAAUUAUUUUAUAUAACAGCUUUCGUACAUAAAAUUUGGUUCUUCUUCUUUUAUUGUUUGCUUUUAUUUUAUUUUAUCUGAUUGCAGUUAUUACAUACUAGGCUCUGUACAUCAUGCCGCUGAGAUCCAUACAACGAUUGAUUAGUGGUUUUCUUUCCAUUUCAGGGAAGUUCAUGAAGAAGUAAACCAAGCAAGAGAAAAGGCAUUUGAGCUGAAAUUGCGCAGGCAAGAACAAGCAGAAGCUCGCCGGGAGAAACUAAGAGAGGCCUAUCUUCGCAAAUUGUUGGAAAAGCAAAAGGCAGCAUCAAAUAUGGAACAGACAUGAAUCGAAAGUGAUGACAAUAUUUUUCCCGAAGUUGGCAUUGAUUUACCAGAUCAAUCAUUUCCCAAUCACGCUAAUGCCAUAAUUUUGGAGCUAAAUGUAUAUUUCAAUCUUUGAACUCUUGCUUUGUAUACUAACAGUUAUUUAAUAUUGUACAGUGUAGUCAUGUUUUACAUGAAAUAGAUGAUAGAUCGUAGAAGGAACAAUUUUGCACGUCUCAUUAAUGUUUCUGGCUGAUUUUAUGAACUAUUGAUGUCUUUCAACUGCUAAGUGCCAUCGAAUUCAUUUUGUACUUAAAAUCCAUUUCAGUAGCGGAUCAGGUUUUAUCGAUGAUCAUUUUGGUUCUAAAAUUCUCGAAAGUUAAAACAAUCAUCUAGCAGAAAGAUGUUAUUUCUUUAGAAUCUAUAAGUCGAGUAGGAAUGCCAAACCAAAUUCUCAGCCCAUUUUAUACCCAAGUUAUCUAUAAAUAUACGGGGCUGAAUAAAUCAUAUAUUGUAAUUACGUAUGCAUUAUUUUUGCUCCGCUGACCACAUGCCAGAUUUAAUAAACAUUGCCCAUUUUAUGUCUGUAUAUCGGUACCAAAAUCAGCUUGGUGAUACUUUCCCUGUGCCGAAAAAGCAGGCUUUCAAUUGAUUACGUUUACAGGUCACUUUUCUCGUAAUUUUUUGCUAUCAAAAUCAUGAUAAAUAUCAUAGACAGCAAAGUUUCUUAUAAGAUUACACAUAUUCACCAAAAACUAUUUAUAUAAUGUUGAACCAUCACAUGCUGCAACCUUAAUCCUCACUAUAACUAUCAAAAACAUGGCUGGAAGCUGGAAACAAUAGUAUUUAGGGCAUUUGCAUGAUUGGAAAGUGGUUACGUGCCAUUGAACAGUUUAAAUCCAGGCUGGUUUUAGAGGUUAAUGGAGUGAGAAACGAAAAAUUAUACGACUGACAGCGCAUCAUCUUCAAAUCAUUUUGUUUGUGGUUAAACCAACAUAGUAUAGUUGGCAGAUUCUUAAUUUUACGCUAAAACAGUACUAUAAAACCCAUACGCAGUCUCCAUUAUACUCGGCUACUCGCAGAGUCCAUAGAAUAUCACUUCCGCAACUUUCUCACUAGGUGAUCAGUUUCCAUUUUGUUCUUAACCAUUCGAGUACUUAGUGAGAGAAUGGAGGGUAGCAAAAUGAGCAUGGCUUUCACCAUCUACAUUAUGGUUCUUUCGGCUUUUGGCAUUUUUGUGGCCACGAACGCGGCCGAAGAUUUGGGAGGAAUCGCACCAGCACCAAUGGAAAGCACUGGAGCAGCUCUUCGUGUUCCUGUUUUGCCUGUUGCAGCCGUGGCUUCUCUUUUGGCUUGGUUCUUGUAAAUUUCUUCACUUGCUAUUUUGGUGUUCCUGUUUUGCUUGUUGCAGCCAUGGCUUCUCUUCUAGCUUGGUUUUUGGUUACUUCCUGACUAGUUUACCUCUUUCUUUGCAUAAGGUUUGCGUUUCAUUCCUGCGACUUUUAUUUUUUGAGAAUUUGAAUGCUCAUUAUCCAGAGCUUCUGAAUUAUCCUGUUAUAUCUUUUAUAUCCAAUAAAGAGAUUAGGACCCGCCUAUCGUUUUCAAUUAGUAUUACUACUGACACAGAUUCGCAUGGUGUCCAAUUCUAUUAGUCCGUAUUAGCCACUGAAGUUUUGAUUACCUGAUGCAUCAGAGACCAGAGAAUAAUUAAUUAUUGUUCUUUUUAGUAACUCAAAAGAAUCAGAGUUAUACUGAUACACAAUUUAAUCUUCCUAAGAUCUGGAACUCAUGAAACCAACGACAAAAAUCCAAAUGUACGAAGAUUCAGAACUCUGAGCUGGCAGACAAAUCACUGGCCAUAGAAUACUCGAAAGAAAUCUUAAUCAGAGCAUUCAGCAUAUGAAAGAUGAGGUUGGAAUGCUAUUUCGUAUGUUACCAACCCAAAAAAAAUAAUAAUAAAAAUAAAAAUAUCACUAGCCUCUGCAUAUUUAUUUUGAUUAUGAAGUCAUCGUUGCUUUAUGGAACCAAAAAGAUCCUCAUAUGAACGCUUAGGAGCAUCCACACGAGAAAUGAUCUCCACAACUUUGUAAGAUGAUUCGGGAUGAAGUAGUGCCUCAACAGCAACUUCUGCGACCUGAUCUCUGGAAAUGGUACCUUCAUAAAGAGUAUCCUAAAGAGAGAAUGCAAGAAUCAAAUUUGUGGUACACAUGCAAGCAUAAAAGAAAUCUGAAAGCUGGAAGUUCUUAAAUAAAUGCCCUUACUUCUGUCUCCAUGAUAAUGUUUCCAGUUGGGGGUUCAUUUCUCAAUCCACCAGGCCUUAUGAUCGUGUAGUUAAUACCAGAUUUCCUGAUGUAUUGCUCUGCCUGAAGCUUUGCUAUUAAGGUGAGGCCAAACACAUUCAGAAAAAUGUAAGCUGGAUUUAGUAUUUGCCCCAUUGCAGCUCCAUUGACUAAAAUGGAGCUAAUAAGAAUGAAUCUGUUAACGCCUCUUUUCCGGCAUGCUUCAACAAGGUUUACUGUGCCAAAAUUAUCAACCUGAAAUUCAUAAGCUACAUAAAACUACAGCGCAUAAUCUACCAAAUAGUCCGGAAGAUGAAAAUAUGAAACAACAAACUUUCAUGCAUCCAAUCAAGAUGGAGGAUUGAAUUCUGGGAUGCAUCAUGCAUGUUAACGAUAAAACCGUGGAACUUAAUAUGAAAGGCUGUAUACAUAACUCCACUAGACUAACAACGGAUUUCAUGAUUUCAAGAAUUAAUACCAAAUAUGAAACUAUAACCCCUAACCCAAUAAUCGUUUGGUAAUACACUUCUGAAGUCAUAAACAAAGAUGUAAGCAAGUAAGAUAAACACAGGUAAGAUUAAUCAUGUGCAUCCCUGUACAACAACAUGGGUGCAUUUGUCCAUGGAUUGACACAAGAACAGAUUGAAAUUUUAGAGCAACGACUGACAAGAGAAAAGGUGUGGGCAUAGUUGUACCAGCAAUUGCAAAAUGGUUGUCUUUCAACAUGGAUAUGAGUCUACGUAAUCAAAACAAGUACAGAUUAUCUACUGAAGAGAUACAAAACCAACUUGCCUUCCAAGGAGCAAACAAAUCCCAACCAGGCUGAAACCCUGUGGCACACACCACAGCUUCUGAAUCAUCGCCUAUAGCUUCUGAUAGUUUGGCAGAACCCUCUGUCACAUCUGCUUUCACCUAUCAAAAAGGAAUUCAAUACAAUUCCUAAAAUUAACAAAAAGAAAAAGCCCCAAUUAAAUUUCAAUUCCCACAAACUGACUGUGCUUGAGAAAGUUUGAGAUGCUAACAAUUUGAAGAGAUGGGUUGUCUUUGGAAAGAGUAGUUUUAGCCUUGUCCAAAUCCCGAACCCCGGCCUUGACAGCAAAACCCUUUGCUAGAAGCUGCUCAACAAUCCUUUUCCCGGAACUGCCAGUUGCUCCAGCCACAAAUAUCUUCUUCUGCUUCACACUUACAUUUUCUUCUGCUUCCUCAGUUAUUUCACUUUUUCCCAUCUAAAACAAUGAGAGCGUUGUGUAGUACAUCAAGAAUAGGAAAUUUACUAACUAAAGCCCCAAAAGAAAAAAAAAAAAAGAAAUUGAGAGUCACCUUGGUGGAGUUGAUUGAAUGCGACCAGGUUUUGGUGGUGGAAACGGAGAAAUGCUUAGUUAAUGUGAGAGUGCGGAGAGGGGGUUGGUUAGAGUUGAGAGUGCAGAGAGUGGGACAAUUUCUCAGAAUCAGAGGAGUGGCCAUAGACUACUCACUCGAUUUGUUUGUUUAGUUUUCGGGAUUUUGCUUCCUCUCAAUUUUACAAAGCCAUGGCUUUGCCACGUUGCUUCGCUUCCAAUAUGUUCUUCUUUCUUUUUCAUAUAUACANNNNNNNNNNNNNNNNNNNNNNNNNNNNNNNNNNNNNNNNNNNNNNNNNNNNNNNNNNNNNNNNNNNNNNNNNNNNNNNNNNNNNNNNNNNNNNNNNNNNNNNNNNNNNNNNNNNNNNNNNNNNAGCCACUGCUGUACGGCCAAGGCGGAUGUACGGUACAGCAGAUAUAUUAAUUCUCGCAGAAUAAAUGAAUAAAUAAAGUAAAAUAUUUACAAACCGGAAAUGGUCCAAUAUUGUGUAGGCAAAAUUAAAGGGAGAUUGUCAAUUGCCCCCCUACAGUAAUCAACAUAUAUUAUUUUCUCUCUUAUUAUUUUUAUAAUGGCCAAAAACUCCCCUGAUAGCAUAAGUUUACAAUAUUAUCCUUAUUUUCAACUACUCUUUUAUUUAUAUUUAUUAUAAAUUAAAUAAAUGACAUGAAUAGAAACUAAAUAAAAAAUUAAGCAUUAAAAACAAGAAAUAUAUGUUUUGAUAUGAGAAAAAAAUUAAUAAUAAAAUUUUUUUCUUGUACUUAUUUAUUUUGUGAAAAUUUUCUUAUAAUAAACAUUUUAUAAUAUUUUAAAAUUAAAUGUGAAAAGUACAAGUAAAAUAUUUUCUGCUGUACGGCCAAGGCGGAUGUACGGUACAGCAGAAAUAUUUUUUUUACAAAAUUCCUUUUAGAAAAACAUUAAAGUUCUUUAAAAAUUAAAAAAAUACUACAAAAAAAAUUAAAAACAUUAAACAAACAAUUUAAUUACAUUUGUCAGGGGGGUUUUUGGCAAUUAUAAAAACAGCAGAGGGGUAAAUGGUAUAUGUUAAUUACUGUAAUUAAAUUUACAAUAGACCUGUUUAAAACUCCUUUUCUAGAAUUUAUAUUUUUAACCCAAGUAAAGUUACCUGAAAAGAUAAAGAGAUAAAACGACGAUAAAUCUUUUGAUGAGGCAAAAAUUUAAUUUUUAUUAGUGAUGAAAUCAGUUUUUGUUCCAUGAAAAUUGUGCUUCUUUUUUAAAAAUUGAAGUUUUUAUUUGAUUGAGUCAAAUUAUAAAGCAUUGUUCCCCUGUGAUUGCUUUAUUAUUAUUUAAGAAAAAAAAAGAUGAACACUUUUAUAAUUUCUGUUCCCAUUUUCAAAUACCUACUCCAGAAUUCUCAUUUUUCACGAUAACACUCAUUUUCAAUCUUAAUUUCUCCAAAACGGAGAUGAUUAUAAAAAAUAAAAAUAAAAUCCAAGAGCUUUACAAAUGUCAAGAACAAAAAUCCUUUUUUUUUUUAAUUUUAUAUAAUCUUAUAAGAAUGGACAUCACUUGAUUUUGAGAUGAAAUUUAAAAGAAUGGAAGCUUAAUUAUGACCAUGGAGGUGGAAAGAAAAAUAAUAUUUAUAUAUAAGAUCUUCUUUUCUAAUUAUAAUAUCUCUUUUGAAUUUAAUGAGAAUUAUCUUUACAUUAAUAUUACCAUUACUCACAAAUAUACUUCAAAAUUAAUGUUCACAAAUUUCUUAAAAAUUUAGAUUCCACCCACAAACUAGUGGAUAGGAAAUUCUCAUCUAAAUAUAUAUAAGAAUAUUUUAUAAAAGAAGAAAUAUUCUCAUCUAAACUUGAUGGUGCGGAUCCUUUCAAGGCAAAUUCCCACAAUGCUAUGUAUCUACGUGUUAUGGGUAAUCAAGAAGCAUGGAUUUGUUUAUUAUUAAAACAAAAGGCAAACGAUUGACUCUUCCCACUUCCCAGGGCAUUCACAUUCUCAACUCGUUCGUAAUCCAUAUAAACAAGACAUGCAUAAGAACCUUAAGCGCAUUCUAGACUUACACAGCAAGCAAGAUUUUACAGUCUGGCAAAGAAUCACAAUUCAGAAUGUGCCCCAACACUUGAACAGAAAGGAAAAAUAUAACUGAAAAAGAUAUGGAUAUGGAUGGGUCAAUCUUUUCUCAUCUUUCGUUCACCUCUAGCUGGGACCAAGACAAAAACAAAUAACCUACCAAGCAUGGAACAUACCAGAUGUUGCAGGAAGUUUGCAAUACAAGAUACUAAAGAUAAAUUAAAUAUACAUUGCUUCUCUUUGGGGUAUCUAAGAACUGCGACUUCAAUAAACUGUAAUUUUCUGUUCCAGCUUUGAGCUUCCAGUUUCCUCAAGAAAAGAGAGAUUUUGUUGAUUCCCUCCGACAAUGAGCUCCGUUGGCAAUUUCCUAAUCCAAAAAUGCAAAAAGUGUUUUGUUAAAAUGAAGGGAAUCGAUUGAAUGGGAGCAAAGUAGAACCAGAUCUAUUCAAUCUCAUAAUUUAAAGGAACUACAAACCUUAUAAAAUUUUUCCAUCAUGGAUGCUCCUCUUAACAGAUCAUGAUAUCAUAUGUACGAUUCCAUCAGCUAUCAUCACUCUGUUCUCAUCUUGCAGUUUCUGAAGGACAUAGAAAGAAAUUACAGUUAAGUAGGCUUACACAGAUUGCGGGACUUGGGUAUAGAAAAUAGCUCAUGCUCACUAAAAAAAAUCAAAAUUGCGUAACUGAUUAAUUCUUGUGAAUUUAAUUAAAGAUCAACUUCACCUCUAAUAGGAAUGUUAUCUCUGCCCUUGAAUAAUGGGCAUCCAUUCCAGUGUUGACAAUUUCCUCUAGCUCUGUAAUGGUUAUCAAAUCCAAGCGAUUUGCCCUCAUAUGUUGACCAAAUACUGAAUUAAAAGCUUCCAUUCUGCGAGCCAACAAAAGAAAAGUUAACAAACUAUUAAUAGGGAGAUGUAACUGCAAAACAAAUGCAUAAAAUGGGGUAAACUUAAAUAUGAUAAAGCAAGUGCCUGCUACCAUACAGACCUUUGAGGAGAGACAUUCACACCGGAUACAGCUGCUGGAGGUUCGUCUACAUCCAUGGAACUAAUUGAAAAUAGAAAUGAAAGCAAGUCAACUUACAUAAAACAUUAUCAGAUUUACUUCAUAUUUCAUCUAUUCCCGUCGCAAUAUAAUUUCCAUUGCUGCUUUUCAUGCAACUCAAAAAAAUUCUAAGCCCAGAAAAAUAGAGAGAGAGAGAAGGUUCAAUUGCAUACUUUCAAUUUUAACUCAUCCAAUAGAACCAAAAAUACUAGAUCUUGGGAUAAUCCAUGACUUCCAAAAUUAGUGCAUUUCAACAAAAAAGCCAAGAUUAUUCUUAGGUCAUUCUCACCGUUCAUUAUCAUUAGUGCUGUGGUCUGCUCUAUCAUUUCCGCCAGGGUGCUCAGCCCUUGGAUUUUUCUCUUGUUCUCUCUGCCUUUCCUGUUCGCGCUCCUCCAUCUCAGUUAAUUCUUUGUGAUAUAUUGCAAAAUUUAGAGCUUUUAGAGCAGCUUCAACAUCAGACUUUGAAAUCUGCCAAGAUACAUUUAUCAAACACUAUUUUGUGUAGAACACUGGCGUAACAAACUCUAUUACAUACAAUCAGGUCAUUAAAACACAAGAAAGACCAGUAGAUCCUAAUUAUGAAAAAUUCCCUCUGCCCCAGUUCGAAGAAUAAAAAAAAAAUCAAAGGAUGAAUCAAUUUUUGAAAACCAAAGGAUAAAAGUGAACAGACAUUCCGCAAUAUCAUCAUUUAUCAGAUUACUGGAAAAGCAUAUUGAUACAUGACACAAUCAUGUACCUUCCUGUUCAACUUCAUUUUGGCAUGAGCAGUUGAGAGACGUAUUAUGGUUUCUAGUGUUCUGGCUGUAAUAGGAAGCGUUCCUCCAGUCUACAAAUAGCAAGCAACAUAGCUGAUGACUAAGAAAAUUAUCACUGCAAUAAUUAUGCCAAAGAUAAAUUGUAGCUAAUUACAUAUAUUGAUAAAUUGUAGCUAAUUACAUAUAUUGACCUUUGCAUUUGAACUGCUAUUUCUGAGUUCUGCAUAUGCUGUUGCAAUUUGUUCAGAUGCCUGUGAAUAAAAUAGUGAGAACGCCCUCCAGACAAAUAGCAAGCAACAUAGCUGAUUACAAAAUUUUGUUUGCACACAAGAGAAAGUCUAUAAUUUAUGUUAAAUUGGAAAGGAUGCAGCAGACAUGCAAUUUAGAAAGAUACAAAAUAUACAAGAAGAUUGACAAAAAAAAAGAAAAAAGAAAAAAAAGCUAACAAGUACAAUAAGAAUCACAACCUCGUCAGUCAGUUCAGGCUGAAUCCUAUGCUUUGCAUAGUGAAUAUACUUCUUUAGAAACUGGAUGGUGAGAGUAUCACGCUUCUGACCCCUUUGUGUUCUCUUCCCAUGCAGCAUUCGGUUAUACUUGACAAACACAGAUGCGUCGGUAUCAACUUCAUCUUCCCUUCCAUACCUUGAACUCCCAUCUAGUCCUCCCUCUCCUAUAUUAUUAAAUUAUGUUAGCAAACACUUUCAAACAUCGUUUCAAGGCCACCAGUCUGUUAAACAGAAAAAAACUUCUGAGCUACCUCCAUCCAUUACAGACCGAUACCGGUGCAUCCGUAAGACAUGAUCCGAGAUGCGUCGGUCAAUAUCGGGAUCCAUUUGAUCCAAUACAAUAAACAGUAAAUCAAAACGAGAAAGCAAAGAGUCUGGAAGUCCAAUAUUCUUUGUUGGAGUCAAUGAACGAUCAUACUGUACAUGCCACCCAGAACCAGCAUAAAAUCAAGCAAAUGAAGCAUCAGUAAGAAGAAAUAUAGUAGUUAGUAUUCACAUCCAACUUUAGUAGCCCUGAAUUACCACUUACAGUUCCAUAGAUAGGAUUAGCAGCAGCCACAACACUGCAUCGAGCAUUCAGAGAUGCAUGAAUACCAGCUUUUGCAAUGGUCACAGUCUGCUGCUCCAUGACCUCAUGUAUAGCAACACGAUCUUGAUCAUUCAUCUUGUCAAAUUCAUCAAUGCAGACAACACCUCUAUCAGCAAGUACCAUGGCACCAGCUUCUAGUCUUCUUUCCCCUGAUCAAAGUUCAUAUAUUUUCCAAUAAAAUUAACAUGUGAAGCUAAAUGACCACAAAAAAUGGUUGUAGGUUAGACCUCUUGUAAAAGACCAUUAGACCAAGGGAUCCAUCCUUCUGACCAACCUUGGAGGGAGACUUGAUUCCUUUGUUUUAUGCUAGGGAAGAGGUGGGUGGAUGAUAAGUAAAAAGGAAACAUGUAAAGCUAAAUUGCUAGAGGCAAUUGAGGUGUUUACCUGUUUCUUGAUCAGAAGUUACAGCGGCUGUCAAACCAACACCAGAAGAACCACGACCAGUGGUUGAUAUGGCCAAGGGAGCAAUAUUCAUUAUUGCUCUCAGAAGUUGUGACUUUGCAACAGAAGGAUCGCCAACCAUCAUCAUGUUAAUGUCCCUAAAAGAAACAAGACACACCAUAUGAAGAGCAUUAAGAUGUAGCCUGAAUAAAGCAAAAACUAGAUUGAAGAGUAGUUAAACACAUUUGGUCAGAACAAUGGAUGGCUGGUUAUGAUAUCCAUCAAAAACAUAUGCUGACAUAAAAGAACCGAAGCAACUCACCCUCGUAAGUGAGUGCCAUUCUUUAAAUUCUUUUCCACUCCACCAAGCAUCAAUAAAAUCACAGCUUUCUUUAUCCAUGAAUGCCCAUAUAUAGAUGGCGCUAGUGAAUUACCAAGAAGGUCAAAUGUAUCAUCUCUCUCAGCAAUCUUUUUUAUGCUUUUUAAGUCUUCAGGAGUGUAGAUAGGUGCGUUCGCUUCUUUGUUGAGCAGAGAAACAUUGUUAGCUAUCAGAACAGUCCUAUAUUGAAGGGGGAAAAGAUGUAAAGUUCAGAAGCCAAACAACAUUUUGCUGUAUAGAAAGAAAAGCAAUGUCAAUGGUAAACGACUGGAAAUACCUAAAUACUCCAUUCACACUGCCCUUGCUUUUGCCAGGAAGAGCCUUGUAUGUACCUACAAUGGCCACCCGAUCUCCAGGUUUGCAUGAAUCAACCAGGUCAUCCUCAACUAUGACAUCCACUGUUCGUGGAAGCUGACCAGGUGCAGAUUUCUCCGGCACUUCUUGCACUGAUAAGGUUUGAUGAUCUUUGUACUUGCAUAAUCCGUACUCCGUCACCAAUAAGUUACCAUGUUCAUCCUGAAACAGUAUCCUCCAUAAGGGAGUCUUGUAAACAAUAACAACAUAACUAUGAAAGCUGAAAACCUGAUAUUACCCUUGUGGGAUAUACAGAGCCAGUUGGCACACCCGUAUUUGAUGUAAUAUCUCGGUAUUCGCGAGUAAGAAAGCUCCCAGUUGUAGGACAGUAGUGAACACUUUUAACAACUUUUGGCCUUACAAGAGAACCUAAAUAUGAGAUGACUCCUAGAUUAGAUCUACACACAUCAAUAUGACAAUUAAAAAUGCAUUACUCUCAAUAUCUCCAAAAUCAUUAGUGAUUCGGCUAUGCAAAACUGAUGAGCAUAAACAAUGGCUCAAAUCAAUUGCAAAUGAUUGGAAAGUAUUAAUAUAAUAGAGUUGAAUGACAAAGCUUACAUUUAGUGACAAUGCCCUCGACACAGACCAUAGAGCCGAUGAAUUGAGAAAGAAGGUCUCUUGGAGUAACACAACGGGAAACAAACGGACCUUCAAAGCCCACAAGAAUAUGUUCUCCUUCCUUCAAGUACUUAGGGUCAAUAUUGCGUGCCCAGUCUGUCGCCGCAUCACAGAAUGGUUGCAAGUACUCGACUGGAUUCUUGAGAAGCCUAAAUUCAGCAAAAUCAUAUAAUCAAAAUCACAUUUAAAAAAGAAAAAAGAACAUAGAAAACAACCAAACAACAACUUGCCACAAAACCCAAAAUCACAUCAGAUUAACACCAAUUCAAUUAAGAUGGAUUUUUACUUUCAAAUUAGCUUCGUUGGAACAAAAAAUUAAUAAAUAACUAAAUUGCUACCCGUCUUACUAACCUGGGAGGCAAGUCUUCUCGGAAAGCGUAGAGAUCGGAGAUGUUGACGAUGAGGCGGCAGCGUUUGUGAUUGAUCAUGGCCUUGAUCUCAUCUUGGUAUAUCUAAUCAUCAACCAAAACGAGGAAAGUUUACCUCAUUGAAUGUGAAAAAAAAAAAAGAUUGCAUAAUUAACAAAAACAGACGCGAGUAAAAGAGAUGAAUACGCACACUUAGUUCUAAGAAAUCAUAAAAUUCUCGCUUGCGUUCUUGAAAUUCUUGCUGACUGAUAUCCAUUUUGUAACUACCGGAUAUGGUUCUGACUUCGGAGCUGGGGGUGGAGAGUAAAUAAAAUUGUUAGAUUAGCGAGAGAAUGACGGCGAGGGGGCCAAUGUGUACCUUUACUUUCAGCCGUGGCUGUGGUUUUGGCGGGAAAAUGAUGAAGACGGCCCUGUUUUGGCGGGACAAUUGUUGGACCAAUCCCCAUAAAUGAGCCCAAUAUUAAGUGGGCUUUUUAUUUUGGGUCAGAAUUAUCUCUUCUUUUUUAUUUAUUUUUGUCAGUAAUGAUACUUGACUUGCGCAAAUUAUCUUAUUAACCCAUUUUUUUUUAGUUUGCGUCAUUAAUUUCCGUAGUUACUCGCCUUUGCUUAGCUUUUCAUGUAGUUCCGUCUAGGUCCUUGAGUUUUACCCUCCUCCCCUUUGUAUGCUACUCUACUUGCUAUAAGGUGAAAUGAAAACGAUCAGUGGCAUUGUGGCAAAGCUAUCAAUAUUUUUUAAGGGGGGCUGAUUUUUUUUUUAAUUUCUAAUUAAAUGCUUUUCUAUUAUAGGAGAGAACUUAUUUAAAAAAAAUUGAAAAAUAAGUGAAAGCCCAAGUCGGUAUUUUGCCAUCCCUAACCAUAGUCAAGAUUUUGAAAUAUAGAACUUAAAAACAGUUACAUUUUUUUUUUUUGAGAGAAAAAACAGUUAGAUUUAAUAUGACUAGAUGAUGAUGAUGAACACAGGCACAAUCGCUAAGGUGGUGUCCAAGGUUCAACUGGUAGCGGAGCUGGGAGUUGCAGCAACGCAAAGAAGAGAAACAUAGCGGCAGAUAAUGAUGAUGAACACAGAACAGAGGAAACGGCGGUUAAAGCGAUGAAGACGAUGGUUUGCUUUGAUGAAGAGAAGAGGAAAUGGUUGGCGGCCCACGGCUAUGAGGUCUCAAAUCAGGAAAAUGUGAAUUACGCACUAGGGCAAUGCGGCUAUUUUUUUCUUUUUUAUUUAUAUUGAAAAUAAUUGUAAAAAAUUAAUAUUAAAAUAAAGAUAUCCGUGUCCGCAAUCCAAAUAUGCGGGUUAACUUAAAUAAACCAUAGCCCAUCAGCUAAGAUCUGAAAUUCCCACAUAACAAACAAUGAAGAACAGAGCCACGAGUGAUAUUAAUGCUAGACCUCGGCGGCUCAUUCUUCUGUCCACAGCAUAAUUAAAAAUCUGACAAAAUUUCAUGCCCUCUCAACUAGCCUCAUAAAUCCAAUGGUUGAAAGGAGAAAAUGGCUCAUUAUCCUGAACUAAAAUCCAACUUACAAUUAUUACAUAACUGUUACAAAAGCCUCAAAAUAAAUAUGCAGCAACUCAAUAGACAGGAUGAUGCGGCUCCUUGGCCAAUUAAUGACCAGAUCUUCUAGACUUAUGAACAGGCUGGAUGAUUCAUGGUUUGAAUGCAGAAAAUGCAACGACAGAGUUGUGCCCUCCAAAUCCAAAUGAAUUAGAGAUGGCUGAAAUAGAUUAGCUAAGUGAGUAAUCCUGGAUGCCAGCAAAAAAGAAAUUGAAAAUGAGAGUGACAUGGGAUUAAAAUGUUCCAGCAACUUACCAACAUUCACUUCAUGCUGCUGUUUUUUGUUGGCGACAGUGUCGAACUCAACUGAAGGUUCAGGGUUCUGAAUUCGUGGAAAAGAAAAUAUCAAACAUUAUGAUGGUGGGAAAUGUUUUAGAUAAAAAAAAUGAUGUAAAAUGUUUGAAAUAUUGUUCUGAUUUACUAAAAAUAGAAAUUAUCCUCAUUGCAUUGAAGAAUUAAUAACUGCAAAUUUUAGGGUUUGUACUACAUAAAGCAAAUUAUGUAAAUUGCCCAAAGCAAAAAAAGGUGUGCACAAAAAGGUAACACUCACAAAUUGAUUAAUGGAAGGAUGCAGCCAUCCCGUGGUUAUUGCCUUGACAGUGGCAAUUGCUUCCAAACCCCCAGCUGCACCAAGGCAGUGCCCUAUCAUAGACUGAAAUAUAAUGAAAACUAGUCAGAUGAAAGAGAAGCCAGCCGAUGACAAGAGAGUAUUGUAACACCUUAGCCUGCUCAAGUGCUAAAGAAAGAGUGAAUACCUUCGUGGCAUUGAUUUUGAUCCCUGUGGUGUUCUUGAACACCUUUUUAAUAGCAUUUAUCUCAGCCAGGUCACCAGCUAAAGUGGAAGUUGCGUGAGCAUUUAUGUAGUUGACCUGAAAAAGAGUGGUUCAAUUUGCUGCUUUAUGGCUUGGAAAUGAUUAACACAACUUAAGAUGAUACAAACAUGUUCACUAACAAAGAUCAGUGUUAGUGGGAGAGCCAAAGCACAAAAGCAUUCCACCGCAACAUCGCUUAUGGUCCAUAGGGCCCAACACUUCUUCAGGUUAUCAAACCAAUGUGUGCUUACAAACUACUUCACAAUUAUAAUCGAGUGUUCUUUUGCCUAAUUAUUUCUUUUUUCUUAUUUUUGCCUGAAUAUGUAAUCAGCCGAAUUAAGUUCAAAUCAGAUAAUAAGACUCAAAUGCAUCUUACCCUGAUACUGCACACUAAGACAAUGUUAUGCCAAACAACACCAUGCAACAAGACUGGUUUAUAGAAAAAAAGGGUUCACCUCCUCAGGUGACACACCAGCAUCUUCAAGGCUGCUCUCAAUGCAUGAAGACACUCCAAGUCCAUCAGCUCUGGGGUCAGUCAUAUGAUAAGCAUCACAAUUAACAGCACCCCCUAAGUACUCUGCUAUGAUCGGUGCACCUCGUUUCAUUGCAUGUUCCAAGCUCUCCAUCACCUGUCAAAAAAAAUAUAUGCAUAUGUCAACAAGCAGCUCACAAACAGCUUCUCUGCCGAGAAUGAAAAAUGUAAUUGACCCACAAACUCUAAGCAGAAGUACAAGAACAAAUAUGUAUACACUCUACCCUUAGUGUGGUAACAAUGCGAGCUUACCAAUACUCCAGCACCUUCUCCCAUGACAAAGCCAUCCCGAUCUUUGUCCCAUGGCCUAGAAGCAGUUUGUGGGUCAUCAUUUCUCUGAGACAAUGCUCUACAUGCAACAAAACCACCCAAUCCAAUAGGAAUAAUGGCUGCUUCAGUUCCACCAGCAAGCAUCAAAUCAGCCUCUCCUCGACGGAUGUGAUUGGCGGCAGCAUAAAAGCAAUAAUUGGAGGUUGCACAGGCAGUUGAAAUUGAAUAAUUUGGACCCAUGAAGCCAAGGUCAAUUGCAAGCAAAGCAGAACCCAUGUUUGUUAUAGCAUACGGAAUGAAGAACGGGGUUAUUUUUCUAUGACCUUUUUCUAUUAGAGCCUGGACUCCAUCAGAAAAGACUGUAAGACCACCCAUUCCUGUUCCCACAAGAACCCCAGCCCGUUCCUUAUCAAUCUGCAAUGAGUAUAUAAAAUGCUGGUCAAAAUUUACUCAAAGAAAGGGCGAGGGGUUAGAGGAGUUGGAAACUAAUGCGUUUUGGGCAUAUUCAGCUGGGAGACCUCAAUAUCCUCAAUUACUGAGAAGUCACACCAGAAUGCAGCGAGUUUCAAUAUGGUCGUUAAAAUGGUGUUGAAUUCCUAAUUCGAUAGACGACCACUGAUUAGUUUGAACAAAUAAUAGAAAAACAAACAUAUAAGCCAUCCAAAGAAUUCAUACAUGCAUGAAUUACUUCCAGCACAAAUCAAGCAAAUGAAAAUUUUCUAAGGGUAACUUUCUGCUUAAUUUUAAAAGCAUGGCAGCAAAAAGUAUUUAAUAAACGCUCAUUGUUACUCGCUUUAUUGGCUGCUCAUGUUUUGCACCCAACCAUGCGCUUAUAUUGAUACUUGACAGCCAGUGAUUAAAAAUCACCAAACAUGGCCAUGGAUCGAUAAUCACAAAGCAAAAUGCAAAAUCACUAUUCCAUCAAAUACGAAGUAGUUUAACUGACCUUCUUAGAAAUAUCGGCACCGAGAUCCGCAUCUUCGAGAGCCUUCUUGCCAGCAACAAUGCAGUACCUCAAACAAUCAUCAAGUCUGCGAUCAUUCUUGCCAUCAAUAUAACCCUCGGCACUAAAUCCCCGGAUCUGGCCGCCGAACCGGGUCGGGAACUUACUAGCAUCGAACCGGUCAAUCAUAGUGAUUCCACUUUCACCAUCCAACAACUUGUUAUAAUACGCAUCGACAUCAUUGCCAAACACGGAGACCAAGCCCAUUCCCGUGAUCACCACGCGCUUCUUGGGGUCCUUCUCCCGCUUGGGAGCGGAUUUGGUUGAAGAAGCAGUGAUGAAGGAGACUCUCCUUGCGGUCGGUCUCGCAUUGUUGGGGAGAUUGAAGUUGGAUUUGCUGCGAAGUGGGUUUAGUGGAGACGCGUGGAGAGAAGAGGAUUGAAGAGAUUGCAUGUUUUCUGUUUGAGGUUAUGCCUCAGUGAGCCAACAAUGAAUGAAUGAAGAAGAAGGUGGGCGAUGCAAACGAUGAGAGUCCUGUUAGUAGUUGUUAACUAGUGAGUGGGAAAUUGAAUUAAAAAUGAAACGCUUGAAAGCAGAAGCCACAGCCCCCGUGCUAAGCUGGGUUUGGCUGCUGGUGGUUGAGCAAAUGGUGAGCUCCUGUGGACUGUAGCACAUACGAUAUAUUACGUAAUCCACGUAUUAUAUCAUACACUCCCACGAUAUCCGUUUCUUCCUAUGUUUUCUUUUAUUAAUUUCUUUUCCUAGUGGGCUAAAUAAUUUUCCAAUGCUUACAAAACAAGAAAACUAGGGUGAUCUAUUUUAGAAAUAAUAAUAUUAGAAGUUUUAAUAUUUGAAUUUACGAUCCGCUAUUAUUAGCGAUUUUAACUUAGAAUGUUAAUAUUAUGUGCAACUAAUAUAUUGAAUAAUGGACUUCAAAAAAAAAAUUGAAUAAUGAAUAAUAUUAUCUUAUAUAUAAUUGUAAGAGAUCUAAUUUCGGCGAAUUGCCGUUGCCCUUAAAAAAUAUAUUUUCAGUGGACAAUUUUUAUAACUUGACCUUAAUUUUUUGGACAAAAAUGUGGUGCAACUUUUGAACGGUGCCCAAUUUUGUCUUUUAUCACUGGACUCCAUACUUUCUUUUUUAUUUAUAGUUUAUUUAUAAAUUUAUGAUAAUUUUAUUUUUUCAUUCUUCUUUCCUCUCCUCUAUAUUCAAAUAUUAUGUUUCUUUUUCUCUACUUAGAUAAUUAAUCAAUCAUUAGUCAGCAACUCCUUUCAAAUUAAAAUAUCAUUGACUAAUUAAUGAUCUCAAUUAUUUUUCACAUCACAACCAAAACAAACUGCAGCAAUUUGAUUUGAAUAUCUGGAUGACAAUUGUGAGGACAUGGCAAUUGAAUAAAUUAAAAUAACAAAUCAAAUUUUUCAGCUAUAAGUCAUUGAUGUCAUAUUGGUUUAAAUCUAUAGAUAAAGCUUAAGUUUUGUUAUUUUUGAAUAACUAAUAACUUUGAAAUUAAAUUGUAUUGUAGUUAUUUUUUAUUUUUAAAGUCUAGUCUGCAUAAAUAACUUUGAAAUUAAAUUGUAUUGUAGUUAUUUUUUAUUUAAAGUCUAGUCUGCAUACAUUUUAAAGCGGCGACUAGUGUAAGAAAAGAAGAUAAAAUACAAAGAUUUUAUAAUUAUUCAUUUAAUAUUUUAUUUUAGUAAUGUCAUGCUAGUUUUAUUUUAUAAGCUAAUUUAUUAAUUGAAUUUUAAUGUGAAAUCAUUACUUAUCUCACUUUUUAAAUUAAAAAAAUAGAGUUAGAUAUUGAUAUUUAUUUUUAUGUCUAAUUUUUUUAACUUGAGACGGCUUACCCAUUUUCUAAUUGUUUAAAUUAUUUACAAAUUUAAUACAAUCUGGAUUUAUGAUUCAGAAUUUCGAAACAUUUGAUUUUUUUAAAUUUUCAGGAUACAAUUUGUAGCGUUAAUUACCAAACUACAGAAUCCUAUAGUUGAAUCUACUCGCACAUUAAAUCUAACGGUGAAAACACAAGAAGACAAAAUAGGGGGUAGCUAGACCUAAUUUUUAAGCCAUUUCUGUCAAAAAAAUCCUAAAAUGAUAAAACGCCGCGUUUUGGAUUGAUAGUUAGUUUCUCCUCUAUACGCCGCGGUUCAGAAAGUUUCUCCUCGUUAACGCAGAGCUCUCAGAGUGAAGAAGAGAGAGAGGAGAAAUGGCGAAGAAAGCAGCAAACGAAUCGAAGGAAUCGCAGUCUUCAUCAGCUUCCAAUCUGUACUCUUCUCUAAUCUUAUUCUCUUUGUAUGAUAAGCAUAAAUUUUCAAAAUUUCAGAUAUAUUUAUAAUCCUUCAUUUAUUUACUUUUUAUGUUGAAAGGAGCUAUUAGACACAGUUGGCCUAAGGGUUCUGUAGUUUUCACUUUAAUAAAACGAAAUUUUAACAAAACGAUGGUGACGGAAUUGGGUGUUACUUUGCAAUUGGGCUAGGAAAAUGGUGUUGAGAAAGAGGCCGACACGACACAGUGUAGUUGCUGCUGUUGGUAUUGAGAAAGAGGGGAAAUCCAUUUCAGCAAAGAGAGUGACAACGAAGCUGAAGAAGAAACACGAGAAGCUUGAUUCUAAGAUGCCCAAGAAACCCCCCACUGCUUUCUUCUACUUCCUGUAUGUGUUUUAGUUCGCUUUGUUUUAUUCGCAAAUCAUUUGUUUUGAUUCUGUUUUGUAUUGAAUAAUAGGCUAUUAGCUUGUUGUUGCUCAAUUUGGAGUAUUCAUUUGUUGUUUCAGUAUCAUAAAAUGUGAAGAUAAUUGUCAGGGUUUACACUUGUGCCUUUUGAUGCUUUUAAAAUUGCUGAUUAGAGGAUAAUAUUUGCAAGGCCUAGAAGAGAAGAGAACUACUCUGACAUAUGCUAAACUACAGAUCUUAUUGGGAUUUCGAUCUAUUAAUUGAAUUCUACUCUUUUAACUUUCAAGGGAGGAUUUUCGUAAGGGAUUCCAAGAGCAGAAUCCGGACAUCAAGUCAAUGCGUGCUGUAUGUACUAGAUUUCUUCUUAUAUCUUGCAAAAGUCUCACUUUCUCUGUGCUAUGAUUAAUGUAUUAAUUUAUAUGUAUAUGUUCUUCAGAUUGGCAAGGCUUGUGGAGAGAAAUGGAAAACUAUGACAUAUGAGGUGGGUGGCAUGUUUGUUUAGAUAAUCAUGAGUGACUUGGUGUUAAAGUAGGGUCAGUUCUAGAUUUUCUAUGGGCCUUUCGUCAUUUACGUGGAUAUUUUUAGACUAUGCAUGUGCCAGUAAUCUUGUCUGUAAGUUUAAGUUAAUUUGUACGUUUACGUGAAACAUAUCCAAUUGCAAAGGACGAAGUUAGAUACUAGUAUGUAUCCUUCAAUGAAUUUCCAAGAUUGAAAGGAUGGUUGUGGUUGUAAGAACUAACCUUUCGUCUGUAUUUCCUGCCUGUAGGAAAAAGUUAAAUAUUAUGAUAUAGCCACUGAGAAACGAGCUGAGUUUGACAGAGCCAUGGCUGACUACAUCAAGAGAAAGGUGACAGCUUUGCAUUGUUUGUCACAUCUGUUAAAACUUUUAUCAUUUUUUCUCAUUCUGCUCAGUUGCAUAAUGCUAAGUUGAUUUUCUUCAAUAAAUAUGUAAUUAUUUCAGGAAAAUGGCAAAGUUGAGAACAGUGAAGAAGACUCUGAGUUUGAUGAGUAUGAGUAGGGUUGUUAUUGUAUUAUUAGUACAAUGUUUCACGAGGAAUAGAAGGAACUGGGUUACUAGUUGUAUAUCAGUUUAUGGGGAUCACUAUUGAAUUCACAAAUUGCUUUUCAAUUUUGUUCCUGUCUGUACUAUCCUUGUAAAUUAGGUCUUGGCAAUUGCAUUGAGGUUAUCCUGGAUGCAGAUUUGACAAUUAAGGUGAUUAUUAUUAUUCUAGUUCAGUAGUUUGUGUUCAUGAGUGAACUCAUAUUUUGGGUUGAAACGUAAGUAGCUACGAAGUGGAGAUCAAAGCUUAUUUAUUUAUUUUUAAGUUAUAUUUUAGCAAUUAGAAAUGAGGUGUGGUCAAAUGUAUUAAAUAUUUGGAAAAGAAUUAAUGCUCAUCAACCGCUAAUCAUUUCAAUCAUAUAAUAUAAUUGAUAUAUUUGUCAGAAUCUAACUAAUGUGGGGAUGGAUGAAGACAUCAAGUGAGACAGAUGACCGUGUGACCGCAAAAUCAGAAUCUGGUUCUGGUUCCAACUACUCAAAAGUUGUCGAAAACAAAAUCCCAACGAACAAAACGAUACCCUAAUUAGAGCUGACAACCAAAAUAAUUUACCUAUGAAUAUGCACUCUUUAACCGAACUCCGGUUUUGUUUUCUUUUUCCUUUCUCCCCCAGUUCCUGGCCAUAUCAGGAGGACCCAACGGUGGUGUGCACGGGGUGAAUUUGCUCAAGAAGCCAAGCUUGAGGGGAAAAAAAUGGUCACAAAUGUAUAUGAAAACCAUAGUAAUUUUUCCAAUACAUGUAUCAUUCUUAAUGUAACCACCACAAAUGGCAUCUGGCCAAGCAAAAACCCUCUCUUUGAACCCAUCCCUCUCCUUAUUGUGCAGCUUGCCUUCAUCAUUACGAUCACUCGCUCUCUUUACUUCAUUCUCAGACCUCUCCGUCAACCCCGUCUGGUCACAGAUAUUCUUGUAAGUAAGACUGUUCCUUCAAAUCUUUUUCACUUUUAUUAAAAUUCUACCCUUUGUACAAAUAUUGCUAAAAGAUGGAAAAAACAAUUGUCAAUUCCAAUGCAUGGAUUAUGCAUAAUUUUUCUUUUAGGAAUUCUCUGUACAUAGAGCUCCAGGUUCUGAAUUUCUUUUUAAACCCAAAAAAAAAAAACUAUAGUUUGUGGAAUUAAAUUCCUUUUGCUGUUUGUCAGAAAUAACCAAUUAACAAUGUGAAAUAUUCAUUUUAUAUAGGGUGGUUUGUUGUUAGGUCCAUCAUUUUUUGGAACUAUAGUUUGUGGAAUUAAAUUCCUUUUGACUAUAGUUUGUGGAAUUAAAUUCCUUUUGCUGUUUGUCAGAAAUAACCAAUUAACAAUGUGAAAUAUUCAUUUUAUAUAGGGUGGUUUGUUGUUAGGUCCAUCAUUUUUUGGAAGGAAAGCAUACUUCUCCAAAUUAUUUCCUGUGCGAUCAGUGACGACGUUGGAGACAGUAGCAUACAUGGCCUUGGAUUUGUACAUAUUCUUGAUUGGUUUAGAGAUGGACGUAAAUUCUAUUAAGAGUUCCGCCAAGAGAGAAUUGAACAUAGCAGCUGCUGGAGCUUUGAUUCCAAUGGGUGUGGGAGCUGGUUUGUUUUUCCUCACAGCCCGCCUCUUGCAUCUCCCUACUGAUCCCAGCGGAUGCCUGUUCUGGGGCCUCACGCUCACUGUCACAGGCUUCCCUGCCGUUACUUGGAUUCUGGGAGAACUCAAGCUCCUUCAAACAGAUAUUGGACGUUUAGCUACGUCUAUUGCUAUGAUCAGUGAUGUUUGCUCCUGGAUUCUGGUGGCAGUUGUGUUACCAAUACGUUCUAGUCCUGAAAAUGCCCCUGCUGCUAUCAUUUCGACUAUUGCCUUCAGUUUAACAUGCAUCUAUGCAGUGCGUCCAGGCCUGGAGUGGCUUAUUCGCCGCACUUCAAAAGGAAACAACAAUGCUUACAGCGAUUCCUAUUUGUGCUUUUUUCUUAUUGGGGUUGUAAUUUGCUCAUUUGUUACGGAAGUUACUGGCACGUUCUCAAUUGUGGGGGCAUUUGUUUUCGGAAUUAUAAUGCCGGAUAGGGAUCUGGGCGCUUUGCUUUUUGAGAGGUUUGCGGACUUUGUAUCUGGGAUUAUGCUGCCGCUGUUCUUUGCAAUGUGUGGGAUAAGAACUAAUGUUCAUAAGGUCCAUAAUUGGUUCCUGGCUGGGUUUGUUAUAAUCUUGACUUGUUUUUGUAAGAUUCUGGGUACUCUCUUGGUUUCUCACUCCUACCACAUGCCAUUGCAAGAUAGAUUGGCUCUUGGCGUACUUAUGAACACCAAAGGUAUAUUGGCCGUGGUCGUGCUUAACCUCGGCUGGGACAAAAAGGUUAGUUAAUAAUUUUCUCUCUCGGUUGUCAAGACUUUGUCUGGAUUGGAUUCAGUGUAUAUAUAUAUAUAUAUAUAUAAAAUCUCUUUCUUAGUUUAAGAACCAUAUAAAUUAAAAAAAAAGGCAAAAAAUAUUGGGCUCUUCUUAAGUUAGUACUAUAUAUACUUUUGAUUCCAAAGAACAAUCAAGAAGAGUAUUAGUAAUCUGAUCUGUCAGGUUUUGCACGACCAAGAGUAUGCUGUCAUGGUGAUAGCUAUCGUGAUAAUGACCGGCGGAGUUGCGCCUAUCAUUUCUACAAUGUACAGGUCCUCAACGCGUAUUAUCAAAUACAAGGGCAGGAGCAUACAGCGCGCAAAACAAGGAGCUGAGCUCCGAAUUCUUGCAUGCGUCCACGGUGUUGGCAAUGUACUAGGCACAAUCAACCUCCUCGAGCUCUCCAAUGCCACCAAAGAAUCCCCUCUCUGCAUCUUCGCCCUCCACCUUGUUGAGCUCAGAGGCAGCGCUUCUGCCGUGCUCAUUGUCCACACCUCGAGCAAGAACUCCGCAUACAAGCGCGUUGGGAGUUCCCCGUCGGACCGAAUCGUCAAUAUAUUUGAAGCCUUUGAAAACCGGAGCACAGGCAUCUCGGUUCAUCCCCUCACUGCAAUGUCACCUUUCAUCACUAUGCACGAAGACGUAUGCAAUCUCGCAGAAGACAAGCACAUAGCGUUCAUGAUUCUUCCUUUUCAUAAUCAAGCCGGUAACAGCAACGGCGAUACAACAGGGUCAUCACCCUUUCGUGAAGUGAACAAGAAUAUCUUAGCCAAUGCACCAUGUUCUGUGGGAAUCUUCGUGGACAAAGGACAAGGCAAAUCCGACAACGGGAGGAUGCAACAUGUGGUCAUGGUUUUCAUCGGCGGCCCAGACGACCGCGAAGCGUUAGCACUUGCGUGGAGAAUGUCAGCGAACCCGUCGGUUCAACUAACCGUUCUGCGGCUUCACUCUAGAUACAACAACAAUGUGAAGGAAGAAGAUAUCCGAUAUUCGAAAUGUAUUGAUGGAAGGCAAAGCCAGGUUGAUGCGGAGUUUGUAAACGAGUUCAGGCUACAGACUGCGGGCGAGCACAACGUGAAUUAUUAUGAAAAGGUAGUGAAUAAUCGAGAAGAGACAACAGGUGCCUUAAGAGAGAUGGAACUUCAGAAGGUUGGUUUAUACAUUGUAGGAAGAGAAGUUAUGGCGUCGGCGGCCACGGCUGAUUUAUUGGGCUGGAGUGAGUGCCCGGAGAUUGGAGCUAUUGGGGAUUUGUUAGUUUAUUCAGAUUUUAUUCGUGCCUCUGUUCUGGUUGUCCAACACUAUCCUGGCGAUGAUGGGGAAGUGGGUGCUGUCUCAAUGCGACGCUCCAACCAUGGGUUAUUAUUUGUGGACGAUUAGAUCAUAGAUCCAGUUAGCUCAAUUUCAAUUAAUUCGUUCAAUGUCGUCAGCUGAUGCAUUAAGUUUUGUUUUGAGUGGUAUAACAUUGAUUUUACUGAGAUUGGGACGGAUGAAAGUGAAACGAAAUUGCCUUAGAAUCAACUAUGUCCGCAACAUUUGACUUUUUUAAAAACUAUAAUCUUCAAAAUUGAAAUAGGAGAUUCUAGUGGCUGAUUUCUCUGGUCGUCUGAAACGCUGCCGCUUACUAGAUUUAAUGUAGGAUCCGUUCCGUUUGGAUGAUAUUUGCGGGUUUUCGGGUUUAAAAAUCUCUGUCUCCAAUAACUGGAUUGAAGGAUUCCAAUUUGACAGCCCAGAAAACUAAGUAAAUUGGAAGAAUUUCUGGCUGCCAAGUCAAACUUAAUUAGGUACCGUAGUUAGGCCCCUUUCUCGUGGCAUCUUGAAUUUAUUAGGCUUUAAAUUGCGCACAAUGUACUACACUGUAAUUAGAAAUAAACUACUCUGUCUUAUCGUGCAAGUGUGUGGUUAGUUAGAAUUUCACUUAUUUCAAUAGUGUUUCGACUCAUUACUUCUUGCUUACCUACAAUGUGAUGUACGUAUUCGAAAUUUUCUAAUAUAAGAUUUAAAAAUUUUUAAAAUGUAAGAAAAUUCUGAAAAAUUUUAAAAUCUUAUGAUUUUAAAGUGUUAUUUUAAUAAUACUUUAACAUUAUGCAGUUUUAAAAAAUUUUCAAACUUUUCCACAUUUUAAAAUUCUGAAAAAAAAAACUAUAAUAUAUAUAUGGUACAUAUUUCGUCUAUUUGACCUUAAGUUUGCAAAAAUUACUGGACACUGUAAAACAAUAAGGCUCCCCAUGAAGAGCCCAGCGAGCUUAAUAGAAUAGCUUUGUCAGGCCUAGUUACAGCAAGACGGUUGACAUUGGAGAUUUUGUUAUUUUCUUCCUCCAAAGAUGAUGAAGUUUUACUUUUCUUUUCUUUUCUUUUUUUGAGAAAAAAAAAUUAGAAAGAAAAUUAGAAAGAAUUUUUAAAAAAAAAAAAAACUAAAUUUGCACCCCUACGAAUUCAAUUCUAAGUUUCUAAACAUAUUGGAGAGCUGUAAGAAGACAAAUUAGCAAGGUUUACACCACCACGGAAAGUGGCAUUGGCCGAUUGGCGUGGAGAAAAAUUAACACUUAAUUUAUGAGAAUAUUUUAGCUAAUCAAGGCUAGAGACACGGAGGGAGAAGUAACAUAACUCUCUGCCAAGAUCCGUUCAUAGAAAGAAGUUACAUCUCACUUAAUUUUUUUUAUAAAAAUUUCUUGGAUGUAUUUAUGCAAAUUAGCUUCUGCCCACGGCCCCCGCAAAGCUUCAGAGCCCAAAUUACGGCCACCACCAUAGCCCCAGCAAUUAGAAAACGAAUUAAGUACGAAGGACCAAAGGAGGCGAUCACGAAUCAGAUCCAAUCAGAAACUUCCCCCAACUCUCUCUUCUUCUUUCCACAAACCCAAUUCCAAAUCCAAGGCGUAACUUAAAAGUUAAACAACAUAACCUCAUUAAAAGAUCCAAAAUGAAAAUUGUAUGCCAUAAAAUAAAUGGAUACGUAAAGAGAAAGAAAAAGGGUCAAAAGUGACAGCCGCAACAAAGAAAGAAGAAACAGGCGGUGGCAACCAAAACAACAGCUUCAAAAACGGAAACAAUCUUGAAGAGAACAUCAUCGAAGAAAGAGAUCUGAAGAUUGAGUCUCUUCCACUUUCCCAGAAACUUCCAUCUCAGAGACUCCCUCUUUAUCAGCCUCUUAAAUAAAACCCAUCUCCUGUUAAGCCUCUUUAUGCCUGUGCUCGUGCUCGUGCUCGUGCUCGUGCUCGUGCUUUCCAUAUGAUAUGUGAUACAAUCACCGAACUAUCGGCCCUUUGCUUCUGCCUUCUGGUCUCUGGUUGUUGUUCGUUCACAUUAGAAUAAUGAGAGCGUCAAAAUUAUGGUGCUUAUAUAAAAGACUCUGAAAGUUGAAUUUCUUCAGGGACACGGUUCAUAUUUCAUAAAGAUGUGAGGGUAUUUUUUUCCUACUUGGUUAUUCGUCGAGGGUGGUUUGGUAAUUUGUGUGGCGGGUGUGCAAGAAUAACUGUUCCGCGUUUUGAUGGGUCAAACUCAAC
This 39371-nucleotide long non-coding RNA is filed under the name Citrus sinensis (sweet orange). RNAcentral's name for it is "long non-coding RNA (CSIN_LNC000512)". Lineage: Eukaryota; Viridiplantae; Streptophyta; Magnoliopsida; Sapindales; Rutaceae. The record is from RNAcentral.